Aciduliprofundum boonei T469 is the source of this 75-nucleotide transfer RNA. It matches the Rfam family "tRNA". From Rfam's summary of the family: Transfer RNA (tRNA) molecules are approximately 80 nucleotides in length. Their secondary structure includes four short double-helical elements and three loops (D, anti-codon, and T loops). NCBI's taxonomy places the organism in Archaea, Methanobacteriati, Thermoplasmatota. The record is from Rfam.
GGGCGCGUGGCCUAGCAUGGAUAGGGCGCUGGCCUUCUAAGUCAGUGAUCGCGGGUUCAAAUCCCGCCGCGCCCG